AGUGAACGCUGGCGGUAGGCCUAACACAUGCAAGUCGAACGGCAGCACAGUAAGAGCUUGCUCUUACGGGUGGCGAGUGGCGGACGGGUGAGGAAUACAUCGGAAUCUACUUUUUCGUGGGGGAUAACGUAGGGAAACUUACGCUAAUACCGCAUACGACCUACGGGUGAAAGCAGUGGAUCUUCGGACCUUGCGCGAUUGAAUGAGCCGAUGUCGGAUUAGCUAGUUGGCGGGGUAAAGGCCCACCAAGGCGACGAUCCGUAGCUGGUCUGAGAGGAUGAUCGGCCACACUGGAACUGAGACACGGUCCAGACUCCUACGGGAGGCAGCAGUGGGGAAUAUUGGACAAUGGGCGCAAGCCUGAUCCAGCCAUACCGCGUGGGUGAAGAAGGCCUUCGGGUUGUAAAGCCCUUUUGUUGGGAAAGAAAAGCAGCAGGUUAAUACCCCGCUGUUCUGACGGUACCCAAAGAAUAAGCACCGGCUAACUUCGUG
RNAcentral lists this ribosomal RNA (492 nucleotides) under uncultured bacterium. Its description in RNAcentral is "partial 16S ribosomal RNA". It matches the Rfam family "Bacterial small subunit ribosomal RNA", at positions 29 to 507 of the family's 1533-position model. The record is from RNAcentral.